UACGGAGGAUGCGAGCGUUAUCCGGAUUUAUUGGGUUUAAAGGGUGCGUAGGCGGGUUAUCAAGUCAGCGGUAAAAUCGUGGAGCUCAACUCCAUCCAGCCGUUGAAACUGAUGAUCUUGAGUGGGCGAGAAGUAUGCGGAAUGCGUGGUGUAGCGGUGAAAUGCAUAGAUAUCACGCAGAACUCCGAUUGCGAAGGCAGCCUGCCGCAGCGUUACUGACGCUGAAGCUCGAAAGCGCGGGUAUCGAACAGG
Molecule: ribosomal RNA, 252 nt
Filed under: uncultured Bacteroidales bacterium
Lineage: Bacteria; Pseudomonadati; Bacteroidota; Bacteroidia; Bacteroidales
Description: partial 16S ribosomal RNA
Rfam family: Bacterial small subunit ribosomal RNA
Source: RNAcentral